This 301-nucleotide ribosomal RNA is filed under the name uncultured bacterium. Its description in RNAcentral is "partial 16S ribosomal RNA". It matches the Rfam family "Bacterial small subunit ribosomal RNA", at positions 509 to 807 of the family's 1533-position model. The record is from RNAcentral.
CAGUCGCCGCGGUAAUACGGAGGGAGCUAGCGCUGUUCGGAAUUACUGGGCGUAAAGCGCGCGUAGGCGGUUACUCAAGUCAGAGGUGAAAGCCCGGGGCUCAACCCCGGAACUGCCUUUGAAACUAGGUGACUAGAAUCUUGGAGAGGUCAGUGGAAUUCCGAGUGUAGAGGUGAAAUUCGUAGAUAUUCGGAAGAACACCAGUGGCGAAGGCGACUGACUGGACAAGUAUUGACGCUGAGGUGCGAAAGCGUGGGGAGCAAACAGGAUUAGAUACCCCGGUAGUCCCUGUCUCUUAUAC